UCAUUGACACUUUCCAGUAGACACAGGCUCCUCUGAGGGUGCGUGUAGCAUGUAGUAUCUAUGGUGCUGUGUUCCUCUUCCCCUUCUGCCUGCAGGCAAGAGAAGGAAAGAGGGAGCACGUAGGGAUCACUAAGGACAAUCCAGGCAGCCGACUCUGAGAGUCCAACUAACAGAUGUGCUAACCGGGCGUCCUGGUAAGUUUUAGAAAAUGCAGAUGCCACUAAAUUCUCCAGCUAUGACCUUUGUAGAACAGACCAGCAAGAAAUCUGCUUUCAGAGUCUUCUGGGGACAGCAGGAAUGAGGAAGAGGGGAGAGUAUCUCCUCUCCAGGUACCUGGUGAUGCUGGACCUCUCCGGCUGUGCCAGGAGCAUGCAUGAAAAGCAGAGUCCUUCACAGGCACGUAAAGGAUUGGUCAGCAGCCAGGAAACGUGGGUUCUAGAAUCUGACUUCAGCAACUGAGAUGUCUAAUGUGGAUCUACAUACCAGCUUUGGAUGCAUGGAUUCAGAUUGAACUUAGGGUAUCUUCCAUGCUAAGCAAAUGUUUGGCCACUGAAUACACCUCCAGCCAACAAGCACAUCCUGGAUAGAUGGAUGAGUAGAUGAGUAUGGAGUGGAUCCAAUACUAGACAGCAAACCCGAGUCCUCGUGUGUGAGCCUCCUCCAUUUCCUAAAGCCCUUGCCCUCAAGAGUACAUGGGCCUUGUAAUAGUCUUUCUUUUGGGGAGGGGAGGUGUUCGAGACAGGAUUUCUCUACAUAGCCUUGGCCACCCUAGAGCUUGUUCUGAAGACUAGACUGGCCUUGAACUCACAGAGACCUGCUUGGAAUUAAAGUGCUGGAAUUAAAGGCCUGCACCACCACCAUCACCUUGCUCGGCCUUAUAAUAUUCUUGCUCAGUCCAGUGACAAGGAAGUACCAGACCGCUCCAAAUGGUGGGACUCUCUCCAGAAUAACCCCUGCAGCUGAACGAGAACAUUGGUCAUGGCAGAACAGAGAAUGCCACGUGACAACAGCCCUGAUUAAAAUGGCAUGACAACUAAAUGACCACAGACAAGAGACAAACGGACAGAAAGUGCACUCUUGGGACAACUGCUGAAUACAGGACACACAGAUGAGUCAAUGGACAUUUCAGCACAACAUCCUCAGACUCUAACCUCGCUUCCUUGGAUCCUUUCACCCAGCAGCACCUGCCUUUAAUGACUCAUUGUGUACUCGACUGACUCGUCUUGCUUAUUGCCUGCCUCCCACAGCAAAGCCUCGGUCUAGGACAGCAGUGAGUUUCACAGCUUCUGGUCUCUGUGCUAUGACAGCAUCUGAGCAGGGCAGACCUACCACAAAGAAUCAGCGAUGAAUAAAUGGUGCAUUGGGUGAUCUGCCAGACCAUGCUUCCCUGGCUCCAAAAUAAAGGCAUCUAACUAAAGGUCUUACAACCCCCAGUUUCGCAUCAUGUGCUGCGACUCGAGCUCAGCUCCGAGACAGAAAGUCAGCGGGCAUCACGGAGGCCCUUGACGGUAGCUGGAAUCUUCCCAGGUGCACCCGCAGUCCACAGGUUUAUUUGGACAUGAUCACUGUUUUGCGACAGACAAUAUUACCCACUCCACUCUACACAGGGGAAUUGUGACCCAGAGAACUGAAGUCGCUCACUUGAGAUUGAACUUUUUAAAAAGCAACCAGGAUGCUCACGGGCAAUUUGGUUCCAAUGAACUUCUAUUUAGACCUACUAUGUGCUUGCAACGAAAAUCACCACAUAGAAUCAAUAUUUGGGACCAUGGGUGAUGGGUAUUUAUGCUACUUUCAAAGCCAAUUUCCUCUUUUUCCUCAGAAGCCGUUGUGGGUGGGGGGAAUGGCAACAGGACUAUUUGAAUCUCUUUUGUCAAUAUUCUUUUUACCUGCCAAAGAGAACAUUCUGCGAUCACACAAGAAGCUGUUCUCGGCACAAUACCUCCUAUUAUCGCUUGAAUCAAUGGCUCCAGGCUUGGGGCAAGAGCAUUGUGUCUUUCUUAAGGAAAGAAAGAAAGAAAGAUCCUUUGAGAUUCCUAAGCAUGCUGAUUGGGUUUUUGGUCUAUUGUGAGGUGUGGUUCCUCCUGCCCCAUUACAAACCUGCACAUUACCCGGCUGCCGUGGACUCAGUGAAAAGAGACAAAGCUAUGAGGUUCUGAUUUUCCACCCACAGUGUUUGGUAAAAGCAGUGUUGGGUGGGGGCGUGGGGUGGUGUUAGGUCAGCAGGAGUGCUGUACAGGGAGGGCUUAUGCUCUGAUUUGUAAGUAAGCCCUGGGAGGCAACAUUGCUGCUUCUAAGGGCACCAAAGCAUGCUAUUUUAGAACACCGAUUCCUGGCCCAGAACUUCUGGGGUUCAACUCCUAGGGCCACCACACAUGGGCUCUGCGACCUUAGGUCCAUCACCCAAUCUCUCUGUGCUUUCUUCCCUGGGUGGUAUGAGAAAUAUAGAAAUUCACUCAGCCCAGUUACCCUCCAGUGCCAAGGAUGACUGGAUCCAGGAUCCCUGUGAAUGCCAAAUUCCAUGGGAUUCCAGGGGCCUCACGUAAAAUGGCAUAAUAUUUACAUAUAACCCGUGCACAUCCUGCUGUAUACUCCAGUUCAUCCUCGGAUUAUUUAUGAAGGGCACUGCAUGUUCUAUAAGUAGCUGACACGCUGUUCUCUGAGGGAAUGAUAACAAAAAUAGAAGUCCGUGCACAUUCAGGACAGAUGCAGUUUUUGUCAUUUUGUU
RNAcentral lists this small RNA (2725 nucleotides) under Rattus norvegicus (Norway rat). RNAcentral describes it as "uncharacterized LOC102550746". Lineage: Eukaryota; Metazoa; Chordata; Mammalia; Rodentia; Muridae. The record is from RNAcentral.